GUGCCAGCAGCCGCGGUAAUACAGGGGGUGCAAACGUUGCUCGGAAUUAUUGGGCGUAAAGCGCGCGUAGGCGGCCACUUAAGUCGGAUGUGAAAGCCCCUGGCUCAACUGGGGAAGUGCACCCGAAACUGAAUGGCUUGAAUGCAAAAGAGGGUCGCGGAAUUCCCGGUGUAGAGGUGAAAUUCGUAGAUAUCGGGAGGAACACCGGUGGCGAAGGCGGCGACCUGGGUUGACAUUGACGCUGAGGCGCGAAAGCGUGGGGAGCAAACAGGAUUAGAUACCCCCGUAGUCC
This 292-nucleotide ribosomal RNA is filed under the name uncultured bacterium. RNAcentral's name for it is "partial 16S ribosomal RNA". It matches the Rfam family "Bacterial small subunit ribosomal RNA", at positions 505 to 796 of the family's 1533-position model. The record is from RNAcentral.